AAGUCGUAACAAGGUUUCCGUAGGUGAACCUGCGGAAGGAUCAUUACCAAUUCGAACCCCUCUUGGCUUGUGCGGUGGGGGGAGGAGGAGUGCGGAAACGCGCGCCCUUUUUCUCACCGCGCAGACCAUUCAACCAACCUUUGAUUGUGAACCAAGGAAAACAUAAAAAAGUCUUCCCUCGCGCCUUUUGUGUGUGAGGGGAGCAAUUUUAUCCAACCCCACAACAAAAUCCAUCAUGCACACACACUCGUGUGUGUGUGUGUAAGGAGAAAAAAGCAAGCGUUGAGCUCCGAACAACAAAAAACAACAAAUGUCAUGUACAACUUUUAACGGCGGAUCUCUUGGCUCGU
RNAcentral lists this unclassified non-coding RNA (350 nucleotides) under fungal sp. Its description in RNAcentral is "partial internal transcribed spacer region". The stretch from base 1 to 46 matches the Rfam family "Eukaryotic small subunit ribosomal RNA", at positions 1786 to 1831 of the family's 1831-position model. Lineage: Eukaryota; Fungi. The record is from RNAcentral.